UGGGGAAUAUUGGACAAUGGGGGCAACCCUGAUCCAGCGAUGCCGCGUGUGCGAAGAAGGCCUGCGGGUUGUAAAGCACUUUGGUUGGGGAAGAAGGUUGGGCGUUGAAUAGAUGCCUGAAUCGACGUUACCCAAAGAACAAGCACCGGCUAACUCUGUGCCAGCAGCCGCGGUAAUACAGAGGGUGCGAGCGUUAAUCGGAAUUACUGGGCGUAAAGGGUGCGUAGGCGGUUAAAUAAGUUAGAUGUGAAAUCCCCGGGCUUAACCUGGGAAUUGCAUUUAAUACUGUAUGACUAGAGUAGAGUAGAGGGAAGUGGAAUUUCCGGUGUAGCGGUGAAAUGCGUAGAUAUCGGAAAGAACAUCAGUGGCGAAGGCGGCUUCCUGGACUCAUACUGACGCUGAGGCACGAAAGCAUGGGGAGCAAACAGGAUUAGAUACCCCUGUAGUCCCUGAGCGGGCUGGCAAGGCGCAU
Molecule: ribosomal RNA, 472 nt
Filed under: uncultured bacterium
Lineage: Bacteria
Description: bacterial SSU rRNA
Rfam family: Bacterial small subunit ribosomal RNA
Source: RNAcentral